RNAcentral lists this ribosomal RNA (433 nucleotides) under uncultured bacterium. RNAcentral describes it as "partial 16S ribosomal RNA". It matches the Rfam family "Bacterial small subunit ribosomal RNA", at positions 29 to 507 of the family's 1533-position model. The record is from RNAcentral.
AACGAACGCUGGCGGCAUGCCUAACACAUGCAAGUCGAACGAGACCUUCGGGUCUAGUGGCGCACGGGUGCGUAACGCGUUGGAACCUGCCCUUAGGUUCGGAAUAACUCCCCGAAUGGGGUGCUAAUACCGGAUAAUGUCUUCGGACCAAAGAUUUAUCGCCUUUGGAUGGGCCCGCGUUGGAUUGGCUAGUUGGUAGGGUAAAAGCCUACCAAGGCGACGAUCCAUAGCUGGUCUGAGAGGAGGCUCAGCCACACUGGGACUGAGACACGGCCCAGACUCCUACGGGAGGCAGCAGUGGGGAAUAUUGGACAAUGGGCGAAAGACUGAGCCAGCAAUGCCGCGUGAGUGAUGAAGGCCUUAGGGUUGGAAAGCUCUUUUACCCGGGAUGAUAAUGACAGUACCGGGAGAAUAAGCUCCGGCUAGCUCCGUG